Molecule: long non-coding RNA, 350 nt
Organism: Nerophis lumbriciformis (worm pipefish)
Lineage: Eukaryota; Metazoa; Chordata; Actinopteri; Syngnathiformes; Syngnathidae
Source: RefSeq, a predicted model, not a curated record
CAACAGAUACAAACAGGAAAGUGUCGCACCAAUUAUUGCAGUAGGAGGGACACAACAAAAUGUCUUUCUUUAAAUCUAAAAAUCAUCGUUUUUGAUACUUGGUGUCAUCUUGGAAGUAUGGAAGCUGAAUUCAAGCAGAAGGAGGAAGUGUUGCUGGUUCCCACCAUAACUCAACAAGGACACAAUUAGCGUGGUGAAUGGAAGUGUUGGAGUAGGACAGGUCACAGAGGAUGAGCAGCGCUCGCUCUUGGGCCAGCGUCCGAGUGACAGGAAGGUGGCGGAUCUCCCAGCAGAUGUUCUCCACCGUGGUUCCCUGUGAGGAGAGAACCUUCUUCAUCUUGACUUCUAAC